Molecule: ribosomal RNA, 292 nt
Filed under: uncultured bacterium
Lineage: Bacteria
Description: partial 16S ribosomal RNA
Rfam family: Bacterial small subunit ribosomal RNA
Source: RNAcentral
GUGUCAGCCGCCGCGGUAAUACGUAGGGUGCGAGCGUUAAUCGGAAUUACUGGGCGUAAAGCGUGCGCAGGCGGUUUGCUAAGACAGGUGUGAAAUCCCCGAGCUUAACUUGGGAAUUGCGCUUGUAACUGGCAAGCUAGAGUGUGGCAGAGGGGGGUGGAAUUCCACGUGUAGCAGUGAAAUGCGUAGAUAUGUGGAGGAACACCGAUGGCGAAGGCAGCCCCCUGGGUUAACACUGACGCUCAUGCACGAAAGCGUGGGGAGCAAACAGGAUUAGAAACCCUGGUAGUCC